GAUGAACGCUGGCGGCGUGCUUAACACAUGCAAGUCGAACGAUGAAGCCCAGCUUGCUGGGUGGAUUAGUGGCGAACGGGUGAGUAACACGUGAGUAACCUGCCCUUGACUCUGGGAUAAGCCUGGGAAACUGGGUCUAAUACUGGAUAUGACUUCUCAUCGCAUGGUGGGGGGUGGAAAGAUUUAUUGGUCUUGGAUGGACUCGCGGCCUAUCAGCUUGUUGGUGAGGUAAUGGCUCACCAAGGCGACGACGGGUAGCCGGCCUGAGAGGGUGACCGGCCACACUGGGAAUGAGGCACGGCCCAGACGCCUACGGGAGGCAGCAGUGGGGAAUAUUGCACAAUGGGCGCAAGCCUGAUGCAGCGACGCCGCGUGAGGGAUGACGGCCUUCGGGUUGUAAACCUCUUUCAGUAGGGAAGAAGCGAGAGUGACGGUACCUGCAGAAGAAGCGCCGGCUAACUACGUG
RNAcentral lists this ribosomal RNA (466 nucleotides) under uncultured bacterium. RNAcentral's name for it is "partial 16S ribosomal RNA". It matches the Rfam family "Bacterial small subunit ribosomal RNA", at positions 28 to 507 of the family's 1533-position model. The record is from RNAcentral.